UCGAAGCAUGCAACAGCCUCUUGAUAUAACAGCUCUUGGUCAGCUCCACUUCUCAGGUGCUGUGUCUAGUGAAAGGCAGCGUAUGGUGUAUUCUCUAUAGCUUAGGUGUUUCACCGCAGAGGAACUGGGAUGUGAGCAACAACCAGUUUUGAGCUGUAUAUUUUUGCGAGGUUACAUGAGUGUUGAUUAUUGUUUCGAGGAAACGAAGAAGCCAUGGAUUUUGGUCUCUCGGCAACGGCGGCCUAACUCUCGCUAGAGCCUGGGAAUGAACAAGGCCUUUUCUUCUUCUUCUGUUAAAUGGGAUGUUUUUGUGUCUCCUCCAAUGUUAUUAUUUCUUUUCAGUUCUUACACAAUUUGUAACAAUAUAGUGUGGUUUUGGAGUAUUCUGUCGGUUACAAUAUAUUGUGUCAGCAUUGUAGGAGUCGAAAAC
RNAcentral lists this long non-coding RNA (430 nucleotides) under Hordeum vulgare. Its description in RNAcentral is "long non-coding RNA (HVUL_LNC014977)". Lineage: Eukaryota; Viridiplantae; Streptophyta; Magnoliopsida; Poales; Poaceae. The record is from RNAcentral.